This 882-nucleotide ribosomal RNA is filed under the name Patescibacteria group bacterium. RNAcentral's name for it is "partial 23S ribosomal RNA". It matches the Rfam family "Bacterial large subunit ribosomal RNA", at positions 2473 to 2925 of the family's 2925-position model. The record is from RNAcentral.
GAUAACAGGCUAGUUCCGCCUAAGAGUUCAUAUCGACGGCGGAGUUCGGCACCUCGAUGUCGGCUCACCACAUCCUGGGGGUGGAGAAGCUCCCAAAGGUUUGGCUGUUCGCCAAUUAAAGUGGUACGCGAGCUGGGUUCAGACCGUAAAGGAGAAGAUUCAAGAAGCAAGAUUCAAGAUUCAAGAAUAACCGCAAUGCGAUCAUUCCUGAAUCAUGAAUCCUGAAUCAUGCAUCAUCUUUUUUACCGUCUGAAUCCCGAGGUUGAAUGAAUGGUUCCCACCAUUCAAUGUGACUUGUCCACGGCGGUCCCAAGGAGAAAUCCUCGGUGACACAGAUGACUUAUAUCGGUGAAGCCCGGAUCGCAGAGAUGCGACCGAGGUAACACCUAGGGAAAGAUAGUUGUUGGUUCCUGGUUACUAGUUGCCGAUAGAUCGCGCAUGCGAUUUACCAGCAACCAGCUACUAGUAACCAGCAACUAACUGCCCGUAGAGACUACACGUCAUCCACCCUCUUGAAUCGUGAAUCUUGAUUCAUGAAUCAAGGGUGAUCAUAUAGUCCAUUGCACGAAGCGAUUCGUGGAAACAAGCGUGAGACAGGUUGGUCUCCUAUCUACUGUAGGCGUUGAUGCUUGAGGGGAAUUGACUCUAGUACGAGAGGACCGAGUUGAACGAACCUCUGGUCUGGGAGCUCUGCCGCCAGGUGGACCGCUCCGCAGCUAUGUUCGGAUUGGAUAAGCGCUGAAAGCAUAUAAGCGCGAAGCCGGCCCCAAGAUCAGGCAUCGUUAUGAGACCCGUGAGAGAUGAUCACGUUGAUAGGCUUUAGGUGUACGCGCCGUAAGGCGUUGAGCCGUGAAGUACUAAUCCGUCCAUCCCGCCGGGAAC